GGAUGAUUCACCCUUUGACGCUCUUAGUAGUCAUGAGAGCAUCUAUAGAAAAGAUAUUAGACAUAACAGAAAAACAAACAUAGAACUGAAUGAGCGCAGGUUUAGUGAUAUAAGGAGGACUAUUGUUGGCUUCAAAUUAAAGCCAGG
Mytilus californianus (California mussel) is the source of this 147-nucleotide long non-coding RNA. RefSeq lists it as uncharacterized. The record is from RefSeq and is a predicted model, not a curated record. The transcript is spliced from 3 exons. Lineage: Eukaryota; Metazoa; Mollusca; Bivalvia; Mytilida; Mytilidae.